RNAcentral lists this ribosomal RNA (865 nucleotides) under uncultured bacterium. Its description in RNAcentral is "bacterial SSU rRNA". It matches the Rfam family "Archaeal small subunit ribosomal RNA", at positions 1 to 843 of the family's 1478-position model. The record is from RNAcentral.
UGAUUUUCCGGUUGAUCCUGCCGGACCCGACCGCUAUCGGGGGUAGGGCUAAGCCAUGGGAGUCGUACACCUCCGGGAAGGGGGUGUGGCAGACGGCUGAGUAACACGUGGCUAACCUACCCUCGGGAGGGGGAUAACCCCGGGAAACUGGGGAUAAUCCCCCCAUAGUGGAGGAGUCCUGGAACGGUUCCUCCACGAAAUGGAUAUGGGCUGUUCCCGCUCAUAUCCGCCCGAGGAUGGGGCUGCGGCCCAUCAGGCUGUUGGCGGGGUAAUGACCCGUCAAACCUAUAACGGGUAGGGGCCGUGGGAGCGGGAGCCCCCAGUCGGGCACUGAGACAAUGGCCCAGGCCCUACGGGGUGCACCAGGCGCGAAACGUCCCCAAUGCGCGAAAGCGUGAGGGCGCUACCCCGAGUGCCUCCUAUUGGAGGCUUUUCCCCGCUCUAAAAAGGCGGGGGAAUAAGCGGGGGGCAAGUCUGGUGUCAGCCGCCGCGGUAACACCAGCUCCGCGAGUGGUCGGGACGCUUACUGGGCCUAAAGCGCCUGUAGCCGGCCCACUAAGUCGCUCCUUAAAGACCCGGGCUCAACCCGGGAAAUGGGAGCGAUACUAGUGGGCUAGGGGGCGGGAGAGGCCAGGGGUACUCCCGGAGAAGGGGCGAAAUCCGUAGAUCCCGGGAGGACCACCAGUGGCGGAGGCGCCUGGCUAGAACGCGCCCGACGGUGAGAGGCGAAAGCCGGGGCAGCAAACAGGAUUAGAUACCCUGGUAGUCCCGGCUGUAAACGAUGCGGGCUAGGUGUCAAGUGGGCUUAGAGCCCACUUGGUGCCGCAGGGAAGCCGUUAAGCCCGCCGCCUGGGGAGUACGGUCG